This 525-nucleotide long non-coding RNA is filed under the name Cricetulus griseus (Chinese hamster). Its description in RNAcentral is "lncRNA (ENSCGRG00015042763.1)". Lineage: Eukaryota; Metazoa; Chordata; Mammalia; Rodentia; Cricetidae. The record is from RNAcentral.
UCAGCCUCCAGCAGUGAGAGAGGAAGUGAAGGACUGAGACGUGGCGAGCUCCCUGGGGGAAAGCGCACGCUGGAGAGCACCAAUUAUCAUAAUUGAAGGUCUCUGGGGGUGUUCAUACAGCCUUCAAGAGUGCCUCAUUCUGGGAACAAGUAAAAAUCAAGCUUUUAUUCAACACAGACUCCCAUCAAUCGAAAAGAGGUGGUCAUGGAAGGAAAACACCAUGGUGCUUCUUUUUUAUUUUUCAGAUUCAUUUUUAUUUUUAAUUAUGGGCCUGUGGUAUGUGCACAUGAGUGCAGGUGCCUGUGGAAGCCAGAAGAAGGUGUCCAAUCUCCUGGAGUUGGAGUUACAGGCAGUUGUGUGGACCCAGUAUGGGUGCUGGAUAUUGAACACAGUUCUUCUGCAAGAACAGUGUUGUGUUCUAUAGCUGGUUCUUUUUCAUGGACCACAAAUGGGAAACUCCAAUCAAAAGAACCUGAAUAUAAUUUCACCAUGCAGACUGAAAACAAGGAGAUCAACCAUGAUAUC